CAGCCGCCACGGUAAUACGAAGGGUGCAAGCGUUACUCGGAAUUACUGGGCGUAAAGCGUGCGUAGGUGGUGGUUUAAGUCCGUUGUGAAAGCCCUGGGCUCAACCUGGGAAUUGCAGUGGAUACUGGGUCACUAGAGUGUGGUAGAGGAUAGUGGAAUUUCCGGUGUAGCAGUGAAAUGCGUAGAGAUCGGAAGGAACAUCUGUGGCGAAGGCGACUAUCUGGGCCAACACUGACACUGAGGCACGAAAGCGUGGGGAGCAAACAGGAUUAGAUACCCGCGUAGUCCCUGUCUCUUAUCC
RNAcentral lists this ribosomal RNA (301 nucleotides) under uncultured bacterium. RNAcentral describes it as "partial 16S ribosomal RNA". It matches the Rfam family "Bacterial small subunit ribosomal RNA", at positions 509 to 809 of the family's 1533-position model. The record is from RNAcentral.